AUGUUGAACGUUGACAAUACUCUGAUAUUUCAUCUUCGAAUUGGUCUGUUUUUUAGGCAGAUUCAAACUAUUAUUUUCCAAAUUUCUAAAGGUGAAAGUAUUAUGACCUUGGCCAUGUUUGUAGAAAUAAAUUUGGGAAUAUUGUUUAAAUAUGGCACUGCAAUAAAUGGUAUUGGGUUAACAGUUAGUACAAUACAUUCAGUUUGGGCUGAAUGCCAGAAUGUUACCGAGACAUCGAGACUUGAAGAAUCUGACUCUACUUUUAACAUUUCUUUGGGAUGCAGAGAGGAGCUUACAGACCUUAAUAAACAAGAACGUGGUAUUAUGUGA
This 330-nucleotide ribosomal RNA is filed under the name Triticum aestivum (bread wheat). RNAcentral's name for it is "partial small subunit ribosomal RNA". The record is from RNAcentral. Lineage: Eukaryota; Viridiplantae; Streptophyta; Magnoliopsida; Poales; Poaceae.